RNAcentral lists this small nuclear RNA (61 nucleotides) under Propithecus coquereli (Coquerel's sifaka). The record is from RNAcentral. Lineage: Eukaryota; Metazoa; Chordata; Mammalia; Primates; Indriidae.
GUGCUCACUUUGGCAACACAUAUGCUAAAAUUAGAACGAUGCAGAGAAGAUUAGCAUGGUC